GACGAACGCUGGCGGCGUGCUUAACACAUGCAAGUCGAGCGGAAAGGCCCUGCUUUUGUGGGGUGCUCGAGUGGCGAACGGGUGAGUAACACGUGAGUAACCUGCCCUUGACUUUGGGAUAACUUCAGGAAACUGGGGCUAAUACCGGAUAGGAGCUCCUGCUGCAUGGUGGGGGUUGGAAAGUUUCGGCGGUUGGGGAUGGACUCGCGGCUUAUCAGCUUGUUGGUGGGGUAGUGGCUUACCAAGGCUUUGACGGGUAGCCGGCCUGAGAGGGUGACCGGCCACAUUGGGACUGAGAUACGGCCCAGACUCCUACGGGAGGCAGCAGUGGGGAAUAUUGCACAAUGGGCGGAAGCCUGAUGCAGCAACGCCGCGUGCGGGAUGACGGCCUUCGGGUUGUAAACCGCUUUCGCCUGUGACGAGGCGUGAGUGACGGUAAUGGGUAAAGAAGCACCGGCUAACUACGUG
This 468-nucleotide ribosomal RNA is filed under the name uncultured bacterium. RNAcentral's name for it is "partial 16S ribosomal RNA". It matches the Rfam family "Bacterial small subunit ribosomal RNA", at positions 28 to 507 of the family's 1533-position model. The record is from RNAcentral.